AACGUAGGAGACAAACGUUAUCCGGAGUUACUGGGCGUAAAGGGCGUGUAGGUGGUUUCGUAAGUCUGGCGUGAAAUUUCUCGGCUUAACCGGAGCAGGUCGUCGGAUACUGCGAACUUGAGGACGGUAGAGGCGUGUGGAAUUCCGGUGUAGUGGUGAAAUGCGUAGAGAUCCGGAGGAACACCAGUGGCGAAGGCGACACGCUGGGCCGUACCUGACACUGAUGCGCGACAGCAUGGGGAGCAAACAGG
Molecule: ribosomal RNA, 251 nt
Filed under: uncultured bacterium
Lineage: Bacteria
Description: partial 16S ribosomal RNA
Rfam family: Bacterial small subunit ribosomal RNA
Source: RNAcentral